UACGGGGGGAGCAAGCGUUGUUCGGAUUUACUGGGCGUAAAGCGCGCGCAGGCGGUUUCUCAAGUCAGUGGUGAAAGCCCGGAGCUCAACUCCGGAACUGCCAUUGAAACUGUGAGACUUGAGGACGAGAGAGGUGAGUGGAAUUCCCAGUGUAGAGGUGAAAUUCGUAGAUAUUGGGAAGAACACCGGUGGCGAAGGCGGCUCACUGGCUCAUUUCUGACGCUCAGGCGCGACAGCGUGGGGAUCAAACAGG
Molecule: ribosomal RNA, 253 nt
Filed under: uncultured bacterium
Lineage: Bacteria
Description: partial 16S ribosomal RNA
Rfam family: Bacterial small subunit ribosomal RNA
Source: RNAcentral